CAAUACAAGAGGAUAUGGGCAAAAGCGAGGCCUGUUGAAACCCAUCAGAAAGAUUGACUGGCACCCUGGGUAAGGAUGACGGACCCCAGGAUCCACAUUUUCCAACAUGGAUGUUGGAGCACACAAUGUUGUGGAGAACCACAGUGUUUUGGAUCAACUUUUGUUAUGGAAAUAUUUCCAAACUGUUGUCAUUUCUGCAUUGGUCACAACAUUGGCCAGGAAACAGGGGAAGAAGAACCAACUUUUUAUGAAGUUUUUGCCAACUCCACUCCAGGGCAAUGGCAAUUCUUCCCAUUUCAGGAGGAACACCCUUUUCCAGAUGACUCCUAAUAUUCUUCUUUCUUCAACUCAGGAACUAAUUUGCCAGAUCUAAGAAUAUAAAAAGCAGUGCAUUCAGGAACAAUGCCUACCUCAGAUAAAAUGUCUUGGGAGCUCUGGAGAAUUUAGACCUUGGAAAUUUUAUGGGGCUGCUGAUCUGAGCUACUGAGGAGACUUUUGCAAAUGUGCCUUCAGAUGACACAAACCCAGAGUAAAUCCCUUCAAAACCUCACUGGUGUUUCUAAAACAGCAUCAAAGGACACACGUCAGUGGUACAAGGAAAUUAGGUGGAAGUUGAAGAGCUAGAUUACCCUCUUCUGAGUCAGGUAAGCAGACCGUAGCAAAUACCUUACUGUCCUCGCAUCUGUUCAUGAGCAGUGUCUGGUGCUACUAAUAUCCAUGCACAUUUGUUAGC
Molecule: long non-coding RNA, 733 nt
Filed under: Calidris pugnax (ruff)
Lineage: Eukaryota; Metazoa; Chordata; Aves; Charadriiformes; Scolopacidae
Description: lncRNA (ENSCPUG00000012378.1)
Source: RNAcentral